RNAcentral lists this ribosomal RNA (53 nucleotides) under Histoplasma capsulatum. RNAcentral describes it as "partial 18S rRNA". The record is from RNAcentral. Lineage: Eukaryota; Fungi; Ascomycota; Eurotiomycetes; Onygenales; Ajellomycetaceae.
GGGGGCUGCGGCCGCCGGGUCUGAAAGUUAGCUACCGGUUGAUUCUGCCAGAU